This 46-nucleotide non-coding RNA is filed under the name Schistosoma bovis. The record is from RNAcentral. RNAcentral also lists the same sequence under 1 other name. Lineage: Eukaryota; Metazoa; Platyhelminthes; Trematoda; Strigeidida; Schistosomatidae.
GGACUGCUGAGGAGACGCAAAAUAGGACGAAACGGCCGUCCAGUGC